RNAcentral lists this ribosomal RNA (465 nucleotides) under uncultured bacterium. RNAcentral describes it as "partial 16S ribosomal RNA". It matches the Rfam family "Bacterial small subunit ribosomal RNA", at positions 29 to 507 of the family's 1533-position model. The record is from RNAcentral.
ACGAACGCUGGCGGCGCGCCUAACACAUGCAAGUCGCACGAGCGAGAGAGAGCUUGCUUUCUCGAGCGAGUGGCGAACGGGUGAGUAACGCGUGAGGAACCUGCCUCAAAGAGGGGGACAACAGUUGGAAACGACUGCUAAUACCGCAUAAGCCCACGGCUCGGCAUCGAGCAGGGGGAAAAGGAGCAAUCCGCUUUGAGAUGGCCUCGCGUCCGAUUAGCUAGUUGGUGAGGUAACGGCCCACCAAGGCGACGAUCGGUAGCCGGACUGAGAGGUUGAACGGCCACAGUGGGACUGAGACACGGCCCAGACUCCUACGGGAGGCAGCAGUGGGGAAUAUUGCACAAUGGGGGAAACCCUGAUGCAGCGACGCCGCGUGGAGGAAGAAGGUCUUCGGAUUGUAAACUCCUGUUGUUGGGGAAGAUAAUGACGGUACCCAACAAGGAAGUGACGGCUAACUACGUG